RNAcentral lists this ribosomal RNA (509 nucleotides) under uncultured bacterium. RNAcentral's name for it is "partial 16S ribosomal RNA". The record is from RNAcentral.
GGAGUUAGCCGGUGCUUCUUCUGUGAGUGAUGUCCUUCCUGCCGGAUAUUAACCCGCAGGCCUUCUUCCUCACUGAAAGUGCUUUAAAACCCGAAGGCCUUCUUCACACACGCGGCAUGGCUGGAUCAGGGUUGCCCCCAUUGUCCAAUAUUCCCCACUGCUGCCUCCCGUAGGAGUCUGGGCCGUGUCUCAGUCCCAGUGUGGCUGAUCAUCCUCUCAGACCAGCUACGGAUCGUCGCCUUGGUGAGCCGUUACCUCACCAACCAGCUAAUCCGACAUAGGCUCAUCCGAUAGCGCGAGGCCCGAAGGUCCCCCGCUUUCCCCCGUAGGGCGUAUGCGGUAUUAGCCUGGGUUUCCCCCAGGUUAUCCCCCACUACCGGGGCAGAUUCCUAUGCAUUACUCACCCGUCCGCCGCUCGCCACCAGGGAGCAAGCUCCCCGUGCUGCCGCUAGACUUGCAUGUGUUAGGCCUGCCGCCAGCGUUCAAUCUGAACCAAGAUCAAAUUCUGA